Molecule: long non-coding RNA, 2728 nt
Organism: Saimiri boliviensis boliviensis (Bolivian squirrel monkey)
Lineage: Eukaryota; Metazoa; Chordata; Mammalia; Primates; Cebidae
Source: RefSeq, a predicted model, not a curated record
GGAGCGCUGGGAGGAGCUGCAGCUCCAGUGUCCCGGAAGGCCACCGCGUCCCAGUCGGGAGCCCCGCGCUGCGUCUAGGAGGGCGCAACACGCAGACCCCGCAGGGGCCGGAGUUCGGAGCACCCUCGUGUGUGCCCCCUCUCCCCGCGCCCUGCCCCGCAGCGCGCCGCCAAGGCCUCGGCCCUGCCUGCCGUGCUCCGGGCCUGGUUGUUCCCGGGGGUCCCGCGGGCAGGGCGCGGGCCGGCAGGACGCGCGCGCCGACGUUCUUUUGUCUGAUAACUAAUUUGAGUUAAUGCGAUCUUUAUGUAAAGCUAACAGCGGAUAAUUGUCUAUUUUCUCGCCAACAGUCUCCAUCACAAUCACUUAUCUGGAAACCUGCGGUUGGAUUAAUCGUUAUAUUCCCGAGAUGAGCGUCGCUGAAAUCCUCAGCGAACGCGGGUGGGGACCUGGAGACGCCUCCCGGGCGCUGGUGGGGCGGGUGCCGGCCAGCUCCGCUUCAGCCUGGGACGCGGUGUGCCCAGGUGUUGGUGCCCCCGGGAGAGGGCUUGACUCUCUUUUUGCUGAAGUAGGGGUGCGGGGGUACAGGAGGCGGAGGGAGGAGGAGGGGCGAGGGAAGAGAGGCCUGUGGGGCCGCGGCGCAGCCUGGGUGGAGCGCGGCCUCGGGAGGCCCUGGGCGCAUCGCGGCAGGGCCCCGGGCUCCAGGAGCGGGAGGACCCAUCAGUGCCGGAGCGCAGUGUUUCGCUUGGGGGAACGUUGCCCUCAGACCUUCGCCUCCCCGCUGCCCCGUGGUCUCGGUUCCACUGGUUUCGCCCAUCGUCCCAUCCACCUUUCCCACUUGAGGUCCCACCCCGCCCCAGGAGCCCCUCCUUAAGGAUCCAGGUCUCUGAACAUCAUUGGCAACAGCUGCACUCUCCACAACUGAAAUCUCCGAGAGAAGAGUCCCGGUUCUAGGGGUAAAGAUGGUGGCGGCUGGUGCGUCAACUCUCUAGGGAAGAGGAACUUGCAUUGCAAAGACUUGUCUUUCUAAGCUGAAGUCAAAACAGGGGCGUCAAGCGCGCUGCGUUUGGCGGCGGUGGAGGGGCUGUGCGCCCGCGCCGUCCCAGCCGGAGCUGCUGUGGCUGGUGAUUGGAGGCUUCACGUCCCGGCCUCCGGCGCUUCUGCAGCUGGGAUUUGCCGGCCAAGGGCCGCAGUUGCAACUUUUCAAAAGGGUGUUUCUGGAAAAUAACAAAAAUCUGGUGACAGUUUUUGGCUACAGAGAAUGAAACUGCUUCCCUUUGGCAAUGGAACUUGAAACUUCCAAGAGUGAAAAAAUGCAACGAAAUAAAGUGCCAUAAGAGCACUGGAUUUUCCAGAUAACCCCAAAUUACUCCCAAAAUGAGGCUUUGUAGAUUCUUGUUAAAAGUCUCGAAUUUCCUCCUGCAACAUCUGAUGAGGUCUUUAAGAGCAAACAAGUAAACUUCACCGCGAGAAUCAACAAACGCAAGCUCUGGCCAAGGCUCCCUACGCCGUUUUCAUCUCCUCAGGGUUGGGGAUGUCCCGCCCCAUGGCUCACCUGGCUCUUGUCACCUCGGUCAUCUUGAAGUGACCGUGAACAAUGCUGCUCCCCGCCGCAGAGCCGCUGGUCACUCAGGCAGAACGGGGUAUGCAAAUGGUUUGAAGAGGCCGAGGCCCUAACACUGCGCCCAUUGUCCCGGGCCUCAAAGCACCGAGCAGCUGCGCAGACUUUCUGUGCUGGGACCCUCGGCCGCCACGCUCAUGUCAUCAUUGCCAAACAUCAGCUUUGGAGAACUAUGCCACCUGAAUUCAUUAGCAGCCUUCCUUUCGCCGCGACAAGUUUCAAAGUCCAGACCCCCUCCAACGUUGGUAGGGGUGGGAGAAGGAGCAGGGGCCCGGGAAGGGGUUCUUUCAAAGUGGGGCCGCAGGAAAGGGGGGGGUCCCUGGUCUCCUCCUUCUGGUGGGUCCUGCAGCUUUAAAAGCCUUCCUUGGGGUUCUGAGCGCGAAUGUCUGCCUCGAACGACCCUGAGAUUUGGACAUAUUCCCGUUUUCUCUCAAGUGUUGCUUUUAUGUUGCCAGUUUAACGUCACUGAAAGAGGCCCACAGAGCAAGUCGAGUGACUUUCACAGAGACAUCAUCUUCUGUUUUAAAGGCAGAGGCAGUGAUCCUUUCUGAAUCGUCCUUUAGGGUGAACUCACAAUAUGCAUGUCAGAGAAGCUGCGCGCCCUCCAGCAAACCAGUUAAAACGCCAGGCCGCGCUCCUCGCUCCUCGGACUGCAGGACUGCCAGCAGCUCACGGGCUUCCAGUGCCCGCAGCAAGGCGAGGGGAGGCGCGUCUCCGUGACCCGACGACCUGCGUGCACGCCCGCUCUCCACGCCGGUCCCCUGCCCGCACCUGCCCAAGUGGCCUGGUCUCUCCAGAACCCGGAGGGACUCCAAGCUGCUUUUCCCUCUCUGCAGCUUCCGAGGCUGGGAAAACUUCCUAGGAGAAAGCAAGAGAAAGCCGCCAGCCAGGGCCGAGGACUAAACGUUGGGGUCGAGGGGCGCAGAGGAGCGGGUUCACCCCUGCGCACCCCAAGGCCUCUCCAGCACCCGCGAGGUCGUCCGUGAGCGCCCAGGCCCCCGAAAUGCCUGCCCUGCUCCUGACAAACGGAGGGGGUAGGAUGUGGAGGGGUAGCGCAACCAGUUACGCUUUUGUAAACACAAGAAUAGAAAAAUAAAUGGAGGAAAUCUA